CUGAGAAAGCUCUUCCUUGCCUCUUAGUUCUCGAAAGGCCUUUGAGACGCUGGCGAGGGUCCAGCAUUGGGAGUACUGAAAUCUCCGCGAGGAAGGCGCCGCGGUGUUUCCGAGCAGCCCGGGGCUGGGGGGUGUCGGUGGGGAACGUGGGCUGGGAGGAGCUCCUGGGACAGCCUCGCCGCCCCUCGGGAACCACCUCUCCCCUGCGCCGGCCGCCUUAGGGUUUUCCCUUCCUCACGGGAGCCUGGCCUUCGGUCCCCUGUAAGGCAGCUGCCACUACCAUGAGCCAACCUUGCUGCUUUUGGUUUGUGCUUACCUGCCAUAUGCUGUUAUGGGCAGAGUGCUUUAGAAAUCUCGUUCAACCCUGCCAGCCGCCUGUUGGGAUGCAAGGCAUGUUGGUCUAACUCUUGGGAAAUGACUUGUCUGGGAGGCCAGCUGACACCAGCAAAUAUAAAGUUGAAGGGAAACAUCAACGGCUACCACCAACUCUGUCCAACUCAGUGGGAGCCAUGCUCCGAGGUUCAACUUUGCCCGCCCAAAUGAACUACUUUCUCCAUGGAAGAGUCCCGCAUGGAAUGGUAAAGGCAGGGACCCUGCUGGGAACCAGGAAUGUGAAGGGGUUCACACAUUGAACAAGUUGCAGCUCACAUUCUCCUCUGGAAGAGAUGUGCCUUUUCUUAAUAUUGGCGCUCACACUAAGGGAUAAACAUAGGACCCCCCAUGGUUGAGGAACGUCCCAAACUGAACUCCUGAGAGUCGGCAUCUGCACAUAAUUACUUAGGGCACAUAAUUCUUUUAUGGGUGCUCGCUUAGGAAAGCAUUUACAUUUACAUUCACAGCUCAUUAGGUUGCUUGUGAAUUUGAUUUGAACAUUUUAAGUGGGAUUGUUUUUAAUCUUUGGAGGCACUAUAAACUCACAGUCACGCUCAACUGCCACAGACUGUUGGAAGGCAAACCAUAUAGCUGGUUUGUUUUGCUUCCUAGGAGGAAGGUAAGGGCUGAACUGACCAUGGAUAUUCUAAGGGGACUUUUUUUUUCUUUUUUUCUUUUUUCUGAGCCCAAGGCUUAUGGAACUAUUGUGAUCACAAGUGAAGUUGCUUGAAUCUCUGACGGAGAAAGAACGAAAUUAAACGUGACUUCUGAAUUGUUAUAAAAAAUCAUAAA
This 1164-nucleotide long non-coding RNA is filed under the name Felis catus (domestic cat). Its description in RNAcentral is "lncRNA (ENSFCAG00000043683.2)". The record is from RNAcentral. Lineage: Eukaryota; Metazoa; Chordata; Mammalia; Carnivora; Felidae.